UACGAAGGGGGCUAGCGUUGUUCGGAUUUACUGGGCGUAAAGAGCGCGCAGGCGGUCGUGCAAGUCGCGUGUGAAAGCCCCCGGCUCAACUGGGGAGGGUCACGCGAUACUGCUCGACUCGAAGGCAGGAGAGGGAAGUGGAAUUCCCGGUGUAGUGGUGAAAUGCGUAGAUAUCGGGAGGAACACCAGUGGCGAAGGCGACUUCCUGGCCUGUUCUUGACGCUGAGGCGCGAAAGCUAGGGUAGCAAACGGG
This 253-nucleotide ribosomal RNA is filed under the name uncultured bacterium. RNAcentral describes it as "partial 16S ribosomal RNA". It matches the Rfam family "Bacterial small subunit ribosomal RNA", at positions 524 to 776 of the family's 1533-position model. The record is from RNAcentral.